This 492-nucleotide ribosomal RNA is filed under the name uncultured bacterium. RNAcentral describes it as "partial 16S ribosomal RNA". It matches the Rfam family "Bacterial small subunit ribosomal RNA", at positions 29 to 507 of the family's 1533-position model. The record is from RNAcentral.
AGUGAACGCUGGCGGUAGGCCUAACACAUGCAAGUCGAACGGCAGCACAGUAAGAGCUUGCUCUUACGGGUGGCGAGUGGCGGACGGGUGAGGAAUACAUCGGAAUCUACUUUUUCGUGGGGGAUAACGUAGGGAAACUUACGCUAAUACCGCAUACGACCUACGGGUGAAAGCAGGGGAUCUUCGGACCUUGCGCGAUUGAAUGAGCCGAUGUCGGAUCAGCUAGUUGGCGGGGUAAAGGCCCACCAAGGCGACGAUCCGUAGCUGGUCUGAGAGGAUGAUCAGCCACACUGGAACUGAGACACGGUCCAGACUCCUACGGGGGGCAGCAGUGGGGAAUAUUGGACAAUGGGCGCAAGCCUGAUCCAGCCAUACCGCGUGGGUGAAGAAGGCCUUCGGGUUGUAAAGCCCUUUUGUUGGGAAAGAAAAGCAGCAGGUUAAUACCCCGCUGUUCUGACGGUACCCAAAGAAUAAGCACCGGCUAACUUCGUG